GACGAACGCUGGCGGCGUGCUUAACACAUGCAAGUCUAGGGGAAAGUUCUCUUCGGAGGAUGAGUAUACUGGCGCACGGGUGAGUAAUAUAUAAGUAAUCUACCUAUGGGAUUGGAAUAACUCCGAGAAAUCGGGGCUAAUACCAAAUAACGCAGCGGCACCGCAUGGUGAUGUUGUUAAAGUGAUUUAUCACGCCUAUAGAUGAGCUUGUCUCCGAUUAGUUUGUUGGUAAGGUAAUGGCUUACCAAGACUACGAUCGGUAGCUGGUCUGAGAGGAUGAUCAGCCACACUGGAACUGAGACACGGUCCAGACUCCUAUGGGAGGCAGCAGUGAGGAAUAUUGGGCAAUGGACGAAAGUC
RNAcentral lists this ribosomal RNA (360 nucleotides) under uncultured bacterium. Its description in RNAcentral is "bacterial SSU rRNA". It matches the Rfam family "Bacterial small subunit ribosomal RNA", at positions 28 to 383 of the family's 1533-position model. The record is from RNAcentral.